GCUGCGCGGCGUGCCUAAUAAUGCUCGUCGAGCGGACCGACGGGAGCUUGCUCCCUUAGGUCAGCGGCGGACGGGUGAGUAACACGUGGGUAACCUGCCUGUAAGACUGGGAUAACUCCGGGAAACCGGGGCUAAUACCGGAUGCUUGAUUGAACCGCAUGGUUCAAUCAUAAAAGGUGGCUUUUAGCUACCACUUACAGAUGGACCCGCGGCGCAUUAGCUAGUUGGUGAGGUAACGGCUCACCAAGGCGACCAUGCGUAGCCCACCUGAGAGGGUGAUCGGCCACACUGGGACUGAAACACGGCCCAGACUCCUACGGGAGGCAGCAGUAGGGAAUCUUCCGCAAUGGACGAAAGUCUGACGGAACAACGCCGCGUGAGUGAUGAAGGUUUUCGGAUCCUAAAACUCUGUUGUUAGGGAAGAACAAGUACCGUUCGAAUAGGGCGGCACCUUGACGGUACCUAACCAGAAAGCCACGGCUAACUACGUGCCAGCAGCCGCCGUAAUACGUAGGUGGCAAGCGUUGUCCGGAAUUAUUGGGCGUAAAGCGCGCGCAGGCGGUUUCUUAAGUCUGAUGUGAAAGCCCCCGGCUCAACCGGGGAGGGUCAUUGGAAACUGGGGAACUUGAAUGCAGAAGAAGAGAGUGGAAUUCCACGUGUAGCGGUGAAAUGCGUAGAGAUGUGGAGGAACACCAAUGGCGAAGGCGACUCUCUGGUCUGUAACUGACGCUGAAGCGCGAAAGCGUGGGG
RNAcentral lists this ribosomal RNA (750 nucleotides) under Bacillus sp. 'Bacillus M10'. Its description in RNAcentral is "bacterial SSU rRNA". It matches the Rfam family "Bacterial small subunit ribosomal RNA", at positions 35 to 766 of the family's 1533-position model. Lineage: Bacteria; Bacillati; Bacillota; Bacilli; Caryophanales; Bacillaceae. The record is from RNAcentral.